This 543-nucleotide long non-coding RNA is filed under the name Numida meleagris (helmeted guineafowl). RNAcentral describes it as "lncRNA (ENSNMEG00000006109.1)". Lineage: Eukaryota; Metazoa; Chordata; Aves; Galliformes; Numididae. The record is from RNAcentral.
AUGGGACACUCUUGGGAGUCUCUGGAUUCUUUGCAGGGCAAAGAGAAAGCGAAGGUUCAGUGGAGGAGAAGAUGGAAAAGGAUUUUUGCAAAGCUCAGAAGGGUGGUCUGUGUAUCUGCGAACGUGGCAAGUAGAAACAGGACUUUGCCAAACCUGCAGUGUUUAGCUGAUUAUUUUGAAGUUCAUCUGUUUGUUAUUUCCUCCAAGGAUGGAAAAUGUAAGGAAGAGGUGAUCAUCGGUUGCCCCAAGACCACUCGGAUGGAAAGAUUGCAUCUGCAUACUUGCUCCAGUUUCCAGUGGGCUUUCCCUGCUCAGUUUCAGAGGAAUUUUAGAAAACUCCCAGGAAUGAAAACAAAACCCAACCCGGGGAAAGCACAGCUGAAGCACUAUGGGGGAAACUCCAGACAACAGACAUCAACGUGUGAGAUGGCAGAGCACAGAAUCUGGGAACUGGAAAUGAAUGUCUGCUGUCAGAGCAGGAAUGGUCCAAAGCCCUGUGAACUCAGCAGACCAUUUUCCUUUGCUGUGCAAAUCUUCUGUUAA